Carassius auratus (goldfish) is the source of this 321-nucleotide long non-coding RNA. RefSeq lists it as uncharacterized. The record is from RefSeq and is a predicted model, not a curated record. Lineage: Eukaryota; Metazoa; Chordata; Actinopteri; Cypriniformes; Cyprinidae. The transcript is spliced from 3 exons.
GUAGUUUUCAGUAGGGCUCUGGACGAAAUACAACCGAGGCAAGGGAUUUCAAUUCUCCAAUCGCUUCUUCGAACAUGCAAAACUCAAAUGCAAGUUCUGGAGUCACACACGUGUCUUCAGAUUUUGUCUACUUCUGUCUGUCUGCUGUUUGGAAGUUUAUGACUUCUGUUUUUCCCUGUGGGGCCAGUGGUUUCACAGAAAUGGACGGUGACUCUGUGGAUGUUCCUCUCUCUGUUGAGGAGACCAGACCAUAUCCAGACCAGAGUUCAGUGCGUCCAUUCACUCUUUGAGGAUGAUGAGGAAGAUUAAGUCAAUUAUGAA